RNAcentral lists this signal recognition particle RNA (265 nucleotides) under Oscillospiraceae bacterium. RNAcentral describes it as "signal recognition particle sRNA large type". It matches the Rfam family "Bacterial large signal recognition particle RNA". Rfam says of the family: The signal recognition particle (SRP) is a universally conserved ribonucleoprotein involved in the co-translational targeting of proteins to membranes. Archaeal SRP consists of a 7S RNA and homologues of the eukaryotic SRP19 and SRP54 proteins. In most bacteria, the SRP consists of a 4.5S RNA and the Ffh protein (a homologue of the eukaryotic SRP54 protein). Lineage: Bacteria; Bacillati; Bacillota; Clostridia; Eubacteriales; Oscillospiraceae. The record is from RNAcentral.
UCGCACUAGUCGGGGAGAUAGCGGUGCCCUAUGCCUGCAAUCCGCUAUAGCAGGGAUGAAUUCCCACACCCGGGUUUGCCUGAGUACUGUCUGGCCGGUAUAAGCGGUGUUGAAGGAACGGUCUCACGCAACGAGAUCCCGUGAACCAUGUCAGGUGGGGAACCAAGCAGCAUUAAGCGGAUCUUCUCGUGUGCCGUGGGGUUGCUGUUCCAGAGCUGGCUGUACCGGUUUCGGGUAUUCAGCAGGUUCAAAUGUGGGUGUGCGA